GAUGAAGAACGUAGCGAAAUGCGAUACUUGGUGUGAAUUGCAGAAUCCCGUGAACCAUCGAGUCUUUGAACGCAAGUUGCGCCCGAAGCCUUUAGGCCGAGGGCACGCCUGCCUGGGCGUCACACGCCGUUGCCCCCCCGCGCCUCCCUCGGGAGCGUCGGGGGGCGGACGAUGGCCUCCCGUGCGUCACCCCGCGCGGCUGGCACAAAUGCCGGGUCCUCGGCGACGAACGCCACGACAAUCGGUGGUUGUCGAACCUCGGUUGCCCGUUGUGCGCUUUCGUCGCGCUCCGAUCGGCCCGCGACGCUCCCCGCUCCGCUUCGGCCGAGCUUUUGACGCGACCCCAGGUCAGGCGGGGUUACCCGCUGAAUUUAAGCAUAUCAAUAAGCGGAGGA
This 395-nucleotide unclassified non-coding RNA is filed under the name soil metagenome. RNAcentral's name for it is "partial contains 5.8S ribosomal RNA, internal transcribed spacer 2, and large subunit ribosomal RNA". The stretch from base 1 to 122 matches the Rfam family "5.8S ribosomal RNA", at positions 35 to 154 of the family's 154-position model. The record is from RNAcentral.